CGCUGACUUAAGCAUAUUAAUAAGCGGAGGAAAAGAAACUAACAGGAUUCCCUAGUAACGGCGAGUGAAGCGGGAAGAGCUCAAGCUUAAAAUCUCUAUGCAAGUUUUGCAUGGCGAAUUGUAGUCUAUAGAGGCGCUGUCAGUGCAGCUAUUUGGGAUAAGUUCCUUGGAAGAGGACAGCAUCGAGGGUGAUACUCCCGUUUGUGCCUGAGUAGCUUGUGCGUACGACACGUUUUCUUUGAGUCGCGUUGUUUGGGACUGCAGCGCAAAGUAGGUGGUAAAUUCCAUCUAAAGCUAAAUAUUGGUGCGAGACCGAUAGCGAACAAGUACCGUGAGGGAAAGAUGAAAAGAACUUUGAAAAGAGAGUUAAAGAGUACCUGAAACUGCUGAAAGGGAAGCGAAUCGUAUCCAGUGUCUAUAAUCUGUAGCAUAUUUCAUUGGCGAGUAGGUGCGUGCAGUACGUAAGAAGUGGCUUGCUGCUCUUUGUGCUGUUCUGCAUUUGCUUGUUGGUGCCCUGUGUUGCAGUGGGACGUCAGAGUCAGUUCGUAUGCUGUGAGAAAUGGCUACUGAGGAGGUAGGUUAGGAGCUUGCUCUUGGCUGUUAUAUCUUGGUAGUUAGUUGUCGUGGUUGGGACUGAGGUGCCUACAACGUGCUUUAAAGUCUUUGGGACUCUCGUUUGAUUACCUGUUUGGAUAGCUUGCUAUGCUGACGGUGUAAUUGAGCGAUUGAGAUCUAGAGUAACUUUUGCCGUUCGGGACUUUGACGAAAUGGAGCGAUUCGGCCCGUCUUGAAACACGGACCAAGGAGUCUAACAUGUGUGCAAGUGUUAGGGUGUGGAAACCCCAGCGCGAAAUGAAAGUAAAGGAUGGCGUACGCUGUCUGAGGUAGGAAACCUUUCUUCUGAGAGGUGGCACUAUCGACCGAUCAUGAACCCUCGUGGUGAAAGAUUUGAGUUUGAGCACAUAUGUUGGUACCCGAAAGAUGGUGAACUAUGCCUGAGUAGGGUGAAGCCAGGGGAAACUCUGGUGGAAGCUCGUAGCGAUUCUGACGUGCAAAUCGAUCGUCAAACUUGGGUAUAGGGGCGAAAGACUAAUCGAACCAUCUAGUAGCUGGUUCCCUCCGAAAUUUCCCUCAGGAUAGCAGCAACUUAUUUACGAUAGUUUUAUGAGGUAAAGCGAAUGAUUAGAGGUCUGGGGGAAGAAACUUCCUUCGCCUAUUCUCAAACUUUAAAUCUGUAAGACCUGCAGGUUUCUUAAUUGAACUUGUGGAUGUGAAUAUCAAGUUGCUAGUGGGCCAUACCGGGUAAGCUGGUCUGGCG
This 1318-nucleotide ribosomal RNA is filed under the name Globisporangium ultimum. RNAcentral's name for it is "partial 28S large subunit ribosomal RNA". It matches the Rfam family "Eukaryotic large subunit ribosomal RNA", at positions 26 to 1155 of the family's 3401-position model. Lineage: Eukaryota; Oomycota; Peronosporomycetes; Pythiales; Pythiaceae. The record is from RNAcentral.